GAUGAACGCUGGCGGCGUGCCUAAUACAUGCAAGUCGAGCGAACAGACGAGGAGCUUGCUCCUCUUACGGUAGCGGCGGACGGGUGAGGAACACGUGGCUAACCUACCUAUAGGACUGGACUAACUUCGGAGAACGGGAGCCUAUACCGAAUAAUAUAUUGAACCGCAGGGUGCAAUAGUGAGUGGCGGUUUUUCUUUCACUUGUAGAGGAUUCCGCGCCGCAUUAUCUGGUUGGUAAGGUAACGGCUUACUAAGGCCACGAUGGGUAGCCGACGUGAGAGGGUGAUCGGCCACACUGGAACUGAGACACGGUCCAGACUCCUACGGGAGGCAGCAGUAGGGAAUCUUCCGCAAUGGGCGAGAGCCUGACGGAGCAGCACCGCGGGAGUGAUGAAGGUCUUCGGAUCGUAAAACUCUGUUAUUAGGGAAGACCAAAUGGGUAAGUAACUAUGCACGUCUUGACGGUACCUAAUGAGAAAGCCACGGCUAACUACGUG
RNAcentral lists this ribosomal RNA (497 nucleotides) under uncultured bacterium. RNAcentral's name for it is "partial 16S ribosomal RNA". It matches the Rfam family "Bacterial small subunit ribosomal RNA", at positions 28 to 507 of the family's 1533-position model. The record is from RNAcentral.